Molecule: ribosomal RNA, 406 nt
Filed under: uncultured bacterium
Lineage: Bacteria
Description: partial 16S ribosomal RNA
Rfam family: Bacterial small subunit ribosomal RNA
Source: RNAcentral
AUUGAACGCUGGCGGCAGGCCUAACACAUGCAAGUCGAACGAGUGGCGGACGGGUGAGUAAUGUCUGGGAAACUGCCCGAUGGAGGGGGAUAACUACUGGAAACGGUAGCUAAUACCGCAUACCAUCGGAUGUGCCCAGAUGGGAUUAGCUAGUAGGUGGGGUAACGGCUCACCUAGGCGACGAUCCCUAGCUGGUCUGAGAGGAGGACACGCCACCAUGGAAACUAGACACGGGCCAGACUCCUACGUGAGGCAGCAGUGGGGAAGAUUGCACAAUGGGGGCAAGCCUGAUGCAGCCAUGCCGCGUGGAUGAAGAAGGCCUUCGGGUUGUAAAGUACUUUCAGCGGGGAGGCGUUACCCGCAGAAGAAGCACCGGCUAACUCCGUGCCAGCAGCCGCGGUAAUAC